UACGAAGGAGGCUAGCGUUGCUCGGAAUCACUGGGCGUAAAGCGCACGUAGGCGGCUUGUUAAGUCAGGGGUGAAAUCCUGGAGCUCAACUCCAGAACUGCCUUUGAUACUGGCGAGCUUGAGUCCGGGAGAGGUGAGUGGAACUGCGAGUGUAGAGGUGAAAUUCGUAGAUAUUCGCAAGAACACCAGUGGCGAAGGCGGCUCACUGGCCCGGUACUGACGCUGAGGCGCGAAAGCGUGGGGAGCAAACAGG
Molecule: ribosomal RNA, 253 nt
Filed under: uncultured bacterium
Lineage: Bacteria
Description: partial 16S ribosomal RNA
Rfam family: Bacterial small subunit ribosomal RNA
Source: RNAcentral